Molecule: non-coding RNA, 26 nt
Filed under: Cricetulus griseus (Chinese hamster)
Lineage: Eukaryota; Metazoa; Chordata; Mammalia; Rodentia; Cricetidae
Source: RNAcentral
GUAGUCCUACUUUCUCUGUAGAUCAG